Long non-coding RNA from Oryzias melastigma (Indian medaka), 3810 nucleotides. RefSeq lists it as uncharacterized. The record is from RefSeq and is a predicted model, not a curated record. Lineage: Eukaryota; Metazoa; Chordata; Actinopteri; Beloniformes; Adrianichthyidae. The transcript has 2 exons.
CUUUUCUCGCAGGAAAUUACAAUGGACCGGAUAAUUGCAGCGGAAAAUAUAUCUGGGGAUCCCAAAGCAAAGAUGCCUCAACUAUCUUCUCCGCCAGCUCAUCCGGGAGAAUAUUGACGUGUUUUCCGGCCAGAUAAAAGACAGAGUCUCUCCAGCGUAAACCACCACCCUUAAGAAGGGAAAGGCUUUGGAAAAUUGAGGAAUUCUAGGAGCUGAGCCAAGCUGUCUGGGGGUAACAAGUAGGGUCUCCCAUGGCUGAUAGGGAGGUGAUGAGUUAGUGGUGGUUUGGUAUCUCUUAAUGAGAAAAGAACAAGACGGUUCCACAAAUCUUAGCACUUUUGCCUCACAUCAAGAAGGGCCAGCUUCAAAUCCUAGCUGGGACCUUUAUAUUUGAAGUGUGCAUGUUCUCCUGGUUCAUAAAUGGGUUUUCUGUGGUUCCCUCCCACAGUGUCCCUUUAACGGACUGCUGACCCAACCAGGUUGCACCCCACCAUCACCCAACAGUUCCAAGGAUAGGCCCCAGCAACCCCAUAACCCCAAAAGGGAUCAAGCAGGUGAGCUGAGUCAGCAACAACGAUGUUUAAAGACGUCACCCGUAUUGACGUCACUGGGCCUCAUUCUGAAGCCAAGCCUGACGUUGGGACAUCACAGGACUAACCACCUACCCUGGCAAGGUCCAGCCCUAAGGGAUGAUGUGGGCCCACCCCCUGCAGGAGAGCUCAAAAGGUGCAUUGUGGUCUGGGUAGUGCCCAGAUGGUCCAACCCUCACCAGAAAACUACCGGGAGAGAAUUUCAUAUUUCUACCUCAAACUGAAAUUUGGCCAUUUUCCAUAGCAACAAAUGUUUAGGCUAGACACAUACAAGAAAUAGUGAUUCCUGGUUUUGCCUUUUUGUGGACAUAUAUGUGAGAAAAGCUGUGCAACAAUUUGACUGUGAAAAAAGACAAAAACAAGGAGUAAAAGACCAGCCCACAACAGCUUCUAACGCAUCAGUCACAUCUGCCCCUUAUGGAUGGGGGUGCAGGUGAAAGAUAGGAAAGCUGUAUGGGGCAUGCUGGUGGUCCGCACAACAUUUUAAGGUCGUAAACCGUAACAUUGAACCUGUAGAGUGUAAAUGUUCACACACAUUUUUUCCUAUGGGCAUGCUGCGGGCAACAGGUUGUAGUGAACAUUUCGCCAUUGUAAAAACCAAUUGGAGUUGGUUAUUAUAAAGAUGUGAUGUUUACAACACGGUGAAAACAGCGAGUACAGGGGGAAAUAGGUUUUAUUUUGAAAAAUUUAUCAAAUGCACUUUACAUUCGCUAGCAUGAUUCUCGGUUUAGGUCGUUAAUUCUCCCAACUUCACAAAAAAGUGCUCCGACUCGGCUCUGGCGUUCAGCAAAAGUUUGAAGCCAACGAAACGGACAUGGAGCGCCGGAGAGGCCAGACCGGACUGGAUGUAGUGUGAACACGGGGUAGAAUGUAGGGUAGGGAUAAGGAGAGUCAACUCCAGGUCCUGUUCCGAAACCCAAACCUGAUACAGGUACCCUAACCCAACACUGGACCAGAGGCAGUACCGGACCCGAACCGGCACCAGACGCGGUACCGGGCGCUUCCCGGACCCAAACCAGUACCCUAACCUUAACCAGGUACUGGCACCCUAACCAAAAACCGGACCAGCUGCGGUACCGGACCCAAACCGGUACCAGACCUGAACCAGUACCGGGUUAAGGUUAGGGUAUCGGUACUGGGUGUGUCCUGAGGACCAGUGCGCAUCCAGUACUGCAUCUGGUACCGCGUCCCAAGGAUUGAGGACCCUUGAACAGCCAGCAGGUCAAAAAACGAUGAGUUGGGGACACCCAAAACAUCAAAAAGUGACGUGGGCCUUUACCAAAUGUCGAGACGCGAUGAUUCGUGGAUGAGAAUGUGUUGGAAAAAGCCGCAGCACCUGUUCGGGUUAACCUCCUGCACGGGUGUGUGAGACUAAGGCAUCAACAAACGACUUCUCUAUCAAACAGACUUGAGGAUGCUCCGUUUUUUUGUGACUUUUGGUCAGAAAACUCGAGAUUAUCUGUGGAUCAAUCAGUAAAUUAGCACAGAUUGGGCCCUCAUGCUCACAAACACCAAAUCUGCUGCACCUUCAAGGGUUGAACUGUUUGCAUCAACAAGGAGAACAUGAUGAGGAUGACGGGGGGGGGGGGUUAUUCAACACCCCCCUUCUGUCAUCGGGACUGACAUUUCAGUGCUGACCUGAUCUCUGCCUUCCUGUAACAUGCUGAAAUUUCGCCGGCUGGUGCGACCCACUUACCCCCCCCCAUUCUCCAGACUUGCUCUGAGCUCUCAGCUGCUUUGUUCCAGCUGAUGUCAUCUAAACCUCAUCCCUGCAGAGUUGUCUGGGGUAGAUAAGACCCCCCCAACAUCCACCCUCCCUCCAUGUGCUGGUGUCCUGCAGAAAAAAAAAAAAACUGGGGCUGCUGCUGCUAUGAAGAUGGAUUACCCAGCUGGUGACACGGGCUCCCUGUCUGCUGAAGCAACUGUGGAGCGCUAACGCAAUUAAAGCAAUUAAUCUUCAGUAAAAGGGGGGUGGGGGUUGGGGGGGGGGUUCACAGCUACCUCUAAUGAUGGCGCACCUUUCUGCACAGGUGCACAUCCGAACAGGCUUCCUCACACAUGCAAAACACAACCACCCCGCCGCAUGCACACAACAAAAAAACUCUGGUGUGACAUGCGGGGAAUCAAACACUUCAACCACAGCGCCAGUGGCCUACUUUAGAGAAAAACACAAAAAGAAAGAUGGAGAGGGAGGAAACAAGAAAUCCAAGACAGCUAUGGUGAGGACUUUUAGGUAAAAAAAAGAAUUCAGAGAAGGAAAUCUGAAACGUUUUGGGGAUAAAUAUGUACAAAUCUGCUUCAUUUAGUAGUUAAAAUGCAAACUUUGGCAAAAAAAAAUAAAUAAGAAAAGGAGGUAAUGAAUGACUAAUAAACGCACCAUGUAGAUGAAUUUUAGGAGGAAAUGGAAAACUUUGAGGGUUAAUGUGCAUGAAUCUGUUUUCCUUAUUCUCAAAAAUGUAAACUUAAGCACACAAAGAGAAGAUGAAUAAAAGAAGUAAACAACAACAUCCAUGGACUUCCAGGAGAAAACAACAUUUUUGAGGUGCAAACUUUAGCAAGGAAAAAAACUGAUGGAGAAAAGGAGAAUGCAGUCAAACAAAGACAGCCGUGGAGAGGACUUUUAGGACAAAGGCGCAAAUCAGCUUCUCUAAGUCGUCAAGAAUGUGAACUUCAGCAAAACAAAAAAAAAAGAUGGAGAAAAGGAGGAAAUGAAUAACUAAAGACAGCUGUGGAGAGGACUUUAGGACAAAACGGAAAACUUUCAUAGUUAAUAUGCGUGAAUCUGUUUUUUAUAUUUGUCAAAACUGUAAAAAAAGAAAAGAUGGAGGAAAGAAGGAUACAAUUCAUAAAAACGCAGCCGUGGACCUCUAGGAAAAACAAUGUUUUUACAGUAAUUAUGUGUGAAUCUGUUUUUAUACUCAUCAAAAGUGUGAACUUUAGCAAAAAAGAGAUGGAAAAAAGGAGGAAAGAAAAAACUAAAUUCAUCUGUGAAAUCUGAAAAAUCAGGAAAAUUUUGAUGACAAAAAUGUGCAAAUUAUUAUUUUUUUACUUUACAAAAAUGCAAUUUUUAGUAAGAGAUAAAAAAGAUGGAGAAAAGGAGGACAGAAUAAACCAAAGACAGUCCACGGGAUUUUUAGGAGAAAAACUGAAAACUUUAAAGCUAUAUAUGCCUGAAUCUUUUCUUUUUUACUUGACAAAAAUGCAAACUUUAGCAAAAAAA